CAAGGCAGCCGGGCGGCCGCCGCCCCGACACGUCGGGGAGGAGGAAAGUCCGAGCUCCACCGGGUAGGAUGCCCGCUAACGGCGGGGCGGGGUAACCCGACGGAAAGUGCCACAGAAACAUACCGCCUCGAUUCGUCGGGGUAAGGGUGAAAUGGCGAGGUAAGAGCUCACCGCUCUGGUGGAGACAUCAGAGGCCAGGCAAACCCCAUCCGGAGCAAGGCCAAAUAGGGGGAAUCACGGACCCGGCCAUUCCCCGGGUUGGCCGCUUGAGCCCGUUGGCAACAUCGGGCCUAGAUAGAUGGCCGCCACCUGUCCGCACAACGGGAAGAAGCUCCGCUUCGGCGGAAUGUAAACCGCUGGGCGGUCCGGUACAGAACUCGGCUUACAGGCUGCCUUGGACC
RNAcentral lists this RNase P RNA (401 nucleotides) under SAR202 cluster bacterium. Its description in RNAcentral is "RNase P RNA component class A". It matches the Rfam family "Bacterial RNase P class A". From Rfam's summary of the family: Ribonuclease P (RNase P) is a ubiquitous endoribonuclease, found in archaea, bacteria and eukarya as well as chloroplasts and mitochondria. Its best characterised activity is the generation of mature 5'-ends of tRNAs by cleaving the 5'-leader elements of precursor-tRNAs. Lineage: Bacteria; Bacillati; Chloroflexota; Dehalococcoidia. The record is from RNAcentral.